CUAGCCGUCAUUUGGUACCCUGGGGCGCCCACCUCCCCCUCUGGUCGACCUCCCCCAUGCCUGCCCUACUGCAGACCUGGGAAGAAGAAGAAGGGAAGGAGAAGAAAGGGAGAGAAGGAAGCGGAGGGAAUCGAGGUGAAGAAGGAAAUGAGGGGUUUGAUUGCCGCUUCCCAAGGAGGCCUAGGUGAUACCACUUCGGAAUGCAACUAGAGUUCAUCUCGUCAUCGGUAAAGGCAAGUAAAUGUAGCGGUGGUUUGCUACAGCUUUAACCUGUUAUUUUCCUACCUUCACUUUAAAAUUAUAUAUCAAUAACCAAUAAUCAAGAUAGUAUUACAGGUCGUAGCAAGGUUUUACCUAUCUGAAUCAUUGCUUAUCGUUAUUGCACUGUUUAUGGUUAUACUUUAUGCUCUUGGUUAUAAUAACCUUAUACUGGUCUCCAUCUAAGGAAUGUGGUUUCGAUGUUAUACUCUGGAAUUCAUACUGCAUUUGCAUCACACUUGCAUUGCAUUUGAAGUUAUGCUGUGAACCUAUGGUUGCGACCGUACCGGUACAUCAUCGUAUAUUGUCGUAAUACGAUGCAGCUUCACACCUUGUUGGGUGCGAAGGCAGGAGUACAUACCAUUGCAUUGCAUAUGCACAUAUUGCAGGAUGUUAUGAAAACUAUCGAUCGAAGAUGUCUUUGAGAAGUGUUUUCUUCUCUCGGAGUUGUGAAUAUAUGGAUUUGAUUGGUGAUGUCAUGAUGUUUUAGUCCUUGGAUAUUGAACUUGUCUUUAUGUGAAUCAUAACUUGGUAUUUAAUCAGCUAUAUAAUAAACCUGUGGUUUAAAUAGGUUGUUAAAGCCGUUUGCUUGCUGAGAUUUAUUCUCACCCCUUAUAGUCUUUUCAGGUACUUGUUGUGACAUGUUUGCAUGAAGGGAUGGGAUUAGCUACACUGUUGCACAAUAUGAUCUCACUUAGUCAUGAUUAUUGUAAUAUGUUGAUAAGAUUACUUGUGUUUAGACAUAAUGGGUUAAUUAAAUAAUAGAGUUAUCGACCAUUGAUUAACUUUUUUUUUCGAGGCUAUCCCUAUAAGUCAGUCAGUUGUUGUAUCAUAACCUUAAUCUAUAUAUUGAUGCUUCCGCUAUAUUGUUUUUAAAAAA
Molecule: non-coding RNA, 1138 nt
Organism: Oryza sativa Japonica Group (Japanese rice)
Lineage: Eukaryota; Viridiplantae; Streptophyta; Magnoliopsida; Poales; Poaceae
Source: RefSeq, a predicted model, not a curated record